AGCAAUCUCGCCCCUCCCAUGAUAUGAAACUCUUUGGAAAUUUGAUUGUUAAGAUGAAUUUUCCCAAUAAGGAUCUCACAACAACAUUCUCUCAGUUGACAGAGGAUUCAGAUCUGUUAGCUGUUCUCGGUGACUUGCUUGACACAGAUGAUGUUGACCGACUGACAGCUCAGCAAACCCUACAGCAUGCUUACUUUUGCAAGUGUGUUUGACCAGAAGCAUUCCUUAAUGUAGGGGCUGCAUAGAUGUUUUUUGUAUUAAAUUCUGCUUACACAUGUAAUCAAUUAGAAACCCUUGUUGUUGUGGCGGUGCUCGUUGUUGUACCAUAUUUUACAGCUUACACUGUUCCUGUUUUGUUUACCAACUGAAGAUAUAUUUUAGUCUGCUAUCUACCUCUGAUGGGAAACUAUGCAAUUUAACCUGUCGAAUCACUCAAAUGUAAACCUCUUUGUUGAACCACUGGCCAAGGGAAAGCUACUAUGCAGAUGUCAUUAUUUUGAUAUCCAUCAGGUCCUUGACAAAUAAUCUUUUUGACAUUGUUACAAAACAAUUUCACUUCUUGACUCUUGAAAGAAUUAGAACAAAAUAUUAACCCCUAAACCCCCAGAAGGGAUUGAUUUGUAGUUUCUCUCUAUAAUAUCUAUAUGAUGUCCAGAAAACAGGCAAUGAGAAUUCUCAAACUUACCAUAUAGAAGUUAUCUUGAUCUAACAUCAAAUUCUCAUAACUAGUCUACAAGGAAAUUUCUCACAGCAAGAGGGGAGAAUUGACAAUCAGAUUUUGCAAGUUAAAGUGUUUAAGAAGGAGGACAGGAAAGUUUUCUUCCCCUUAUUUACUGAUCUCAACAAUGCUAUUCCUUUGAGCAGAUAAUACUUAAGUUUUUUAAUUAAUGCCCCAAUCAAUUCAAAGCUUCAACUCCCCCCCCCCUCCACUGAACAGCAUUCUAGUCAAUUGAAGAUGG
Stylophora pistillata is the source of this 959-nucleotide long non-coding RNA. Lineage: Eukaryota; Metazoa; Cnidaria; Anthozoa; Scleractinia; Pocilloporidae. The record is from RefSeq and is a predicted model, not a curated record.